UACGUAGGGGGCAAGCGUUGUCCGGAAUCAUUGGGCGUAAAGCGCGCGUAGGCGGUCCGGUAAGUCCGCUGUGAAAGUCCAGGGCUCAACCCUGGAAAGCCGGUGGAUACUGUCGGGCUAGAGUCCGGAAGAGGAGAGUGGAAUUCCUGGUGUAGCGGUGAAAUGCGCAGAUAUCAGGAAGAACACCCGUGGCGAAGGCGGUUCUCUGGGACGGUACUGACGCUGAGACGCGAAAGCGUGGGGAGCGAACAGG
This 253-nucleotide ribosomal RNA is filed under the name uncultured bacterium. RNAcentral's name for it is "partial 16S ribosomal RNA". It matches the Rfam family "Bacterial small subunit ribosomal RNA", at positions 524 to 776 of the family's 1533-position model. The record is from RNAcentral.